UUAAGCGACUAAGCGUACACGGUGGAUGCCCUGGCAGUCAGAGGCGAUGAAGGACGUGCUAAUCUGCGAAAAGCGUCGGUAAGGUGAUAUGAACCGUUAUAACCGGCGAUGUCCGAAUGGGGAAACCCAGUGUGAUUCGUCACACUAUCGUUAACUGAAUACAUAGGUUAACGAGGCGAACCGGGGGAACUGAAACAUCUAAGUACCCCGAGGAAAAGAAAUCAACCGAGAUUCCCCCAGUAGCGGCGAGCGAACGGGGAGCAGCCCAGAGUCUGAAUCAGCUUGUGUGUUAGUGGAACGGUCUGGAAAGUCCGACGGUACAGGGUGAUAGUCCCGUACACCAAAAUGCACAGGCUGUGAACUCGAAGAGUAGGGCGGGACACGUGGUAUCCUGUCUGAAUAUGGGGGGACCAUCCUCCAAGGCUAAAUACUCCUGACUGACCGAUAGUGAACCAGUACCGUGAGGGAAAGGCGAAAAGAACCCCGGCGAGGGGAGUGAAAAAGAACCUGAAACCGUGUACGUACAAGCAGUGGGAGCACCUUCGGGUGUGACUGCGUACCUUUUGUAUAAUGGGUCAGCGACUUAUAUUCUGUAGCAAGGUUAACCGUAUAGGGGAGCCGCAGGGAAACCGAGUCUUAACUGGGCGUUAAGUUGCAGGGUAUAGACCCGAAACCCGGUGAUCUAGCCAUGGGCAGGUUGAAGGUUGGGUAACACUAACUGGAGGACCGAACCGACUAAUGUUGAAAAAUUAGCGGAUGACUUGUGGCUGGGGGUGAAAGGCCAAUCAAACCGGGAGAUAGCUGGUUCUCCCCGAAAGCUAUUUAGGUAGCGCCUCGUGAACUCAUCUUCGGGGGUAGAGCACUGUUUCGGCUAGGGGGUCAUCCCGACUUACCAACCCGAUGCAAACUACGAAUACCGAAGAAUGUUAUCACGGGAGACACACGGCGGGUGCUAACGUCCGUCGUGAAGAGGGAAACAACCCAGACCGCCAGCUAAGGUCCCAAAGUCAUGGUUAAGUGGGAAACGAUGUGGGAAGGCACAGACAGCCAGGAUGUUGGCUUAGAAGCAGCCAUCAUUUAAAGAAAGCGUAAUAGCUCACUGGUCGAGUCGGCCUGCGCGGAAGAUGUAACGGGGCUAAACCAUGCACCGAAGCUGCGGCAGCGACACUAUGUGUUGUUGGGUAGGGGAGCGUUCUGUAAGCCUGCGAAGGUGACCUGUGAGGGUUGCUGGAGGUAUCAGAAGUGCGAAUGCUGACAUAAGUAACGAUAAAGCGGGUGAAAAGCCCGCUCGCCGGAAGACCAAGGGUUCCUGUCCAACGUUAAUCGGGGCAGGGUGAGUCGACCCCUAAGGCGAGGCCGAAAGGCGUAGUCGAUGGGAAACAGGUUAAUAUUCCUGUACUUGGUGUUACUGCGAAGGGGGGACGGAGAAGGCUAUGUUAGCCGGGCGACGGUUGUCCCGGUUUAAGCAUGUAGGCUGGUUGUCCAGGCAAAUCCGGAUAAUCAAGGCUGAGGUGUGAUGACGAGGCACUACGGUGCUGAAGUAACAAAUGCCCUGCUUCCAGGAAAAGCCUCUAAGCAUCAGGUAACAUCAAAUCGUACCCCAAACCGACACAGGUGGUCAGGUAGAGAAUACCAAGGCGCUUGAGAGAACUCGGGUGAAGGAACUAGGCAAAAUGGUGCCGUAACUUCGGGAGAAGGCACGCUGGUGUGUAGGUGAAGCCCCUGCGGGUGGAGCUGAGACCAGUCGAAGAUACCAGCUGGCUGCAACUGUUUAUUAAAAACACAGCACUGUGCAAACACGAAAGUGGACGUAUACGGUGUGACGCCUGCCCGGUGCCGGAAGGUUAAUUGAUGGGGUUAUCCGUAAGGAGAAGCUCUUGAUCGAAGCCCCGGUAAACGGCGGCCGUAACUAUAACGGUCCUAAGGUAGCGAAAUUCCUUGUCGGGUAAGUUCCGACCUGCACGAAUGGCGUAAUGAUGGCCAGGCUGUCUCCACCCGAGACUCAGUGAAAUUGAACUCGCUGUGAAGAUGCAGUGUACCCGCGGCAAGACGGAAAGACCCCGUGAACCUUUACUAUAGCUUGACACUGAACAUUGAGCCUUGAUGUGUAGGAUAGGUGGGAGGCUUUGAAGCGUGGACGCCAGUCUGCGUGGAGCCAACCUUGAAAUACCACCCUUUAAUGUUUGAUGUUCUAACGUUGGCCCCUGACCGGGGUUGCGGACAGUGUCUGGUGGGUAGUUUGACUGGGGCGGUCUCCUCCCAAAGCGUAACGGAGGAGCACGAAGGUUAGCUAAUCCUGGUCGGACAUCAGGAGGUUAGUGCAAUGGCAUAAGCUAGCUUGACUGCGAGCGUGACGGCGCGAGCAGGUGCGAAAGCAGGUCAUAGUGAUCCGGUGGUUCUGAAUGGAAGGGCCAUCGCUCAACGGAUAAAAGGUACUCCGGGGAUAACAGGCUGAUACCGCCCAAGAGUUCAUAUCGACGGCGGUGUUUGGCACCUCGAUGUCGGCUCAUCACAUCCUGGGGCUGAAGUAGGUCCCAAGGGUAUGGCUGUUCGCCAUUUAAAGUGGUACGCGAGCUGGGUUUAGAACGUCGUGAGACAGUUCGGUCCCUAUCUGCCGUGGGCGCUGGAGAAUUGAGGGGGGCUGCUCCUAGUACGAGAGGACCGGAGUGGACGCAUCACUGGUGUUCGGGUUGUCAUGCCAAUGGCACUGCCCGGUAGCUAAAUGCGGAAGAGAUAAGUGCUGAAAGCAUCUAAGCACGAAACUUGCCCCGAGAUGAGUUCUCCCUGAGACUUUAAGUCUCCUGAAGGAACGUUAAAGACGAUGACGUUGAUAGGCCGGGUGUGUAAGCGCAGCGAUGCGUUGAGCUAACCGGUACUAAUGAACCGUGAGGCUUAACCUU
RNAcentral lists this ribosomal RNA (2900 nucleotides) under Klebsiella pneumoniae. RNAcentral describes it as "23S ribosomal RNA". It matches the Rfam family "Bacterial large subunit ribosomal RNA". RNAcentral also lists the same sequence under 1 other name. Lineage: Bacteria; Pseudomonadati; Pseudomonadota; Gammaproteobacteria; Enterobacterales; Enterobacteriaceae. The record is from RNAcentral.